Long non-coding RNA from Phoenix dactylifera (date palm), 1513 nucleotides. RefSeq lists it as uncharacterized. The record is from RefSeq and is a predicted model, not a curated record. NCBI's taxonomy places the organism in Eukaryota, Viridiplantae, Streptophyta, Magnoliopsida, Arecales, Arecaceae.
AGAGAUGCAGAGAUGGAGGGGGAGGGUGCGCUAAAGCAGCGUCUCGAGGGAUGGCGGGGUUUGGGUGAUGGACCUUCUUGGCAACCACACCCAUGCAUGGCUCGUUUCGGAUAGGGGGAUCCCCUCCCUCUCCCACCCUCCGUUAAAUUAUGAUGACUGCGUACUGAGAGCCCAGCCACCAUUCUUCUCUCCCCUACCCACCUAUCUAUAACCAAUUUGAUCGAUCCACCAACUUGCUUUGUUUUGAUCCUCUGCUUAGAUUUGCUUUGUUGAUGUGAGAGGUUGAAGCUGCCAGCAUGAUCUGGUCAUCAAACGCCGGUCGGACUCCACCGAGAUAUCAGCUCGUGGUUUGGAAGAUAAUAUGAAAAACUCCAUGUCACAGUGUAGUACAGGUAGAAAUAUAGAUAGAGAGAAUAAAUAGCUUUGAUAUUUCUUGCUAUUUUUAUUGGAUGGGUGGGGUUGCUGAGAAAUGGAUCACUGUAUACAUGUUCUAGAGCUUGAUUGGCAUGUAAUUUUAUAGAUGAGAAAUCGAGAACUAUGUAGAACUGUAAUAUAGAUACUAGAUAGACCCUAAAACUGUAAAGAACAUCAUCCAAACUCGGUAGAAAGUAUAGGGAUGGAUGUGGGGAGGGAGAGAGAGAGAGAGAGAGAGAUAGGUUGUUUCAGAUUGCAGAAGGCAUGAAGAAAUGGUUCUGAACUAUUGGGAAGUAUAUAAGAAGAUAAGUGAAUAGAUGUAGACAAUAGAGAGGCAAACCUCCUUUCCUCCCCUCUCUCUCUCAUGGGGAUCCAGUUUGCAGAAUGGAGUAGUUUUAUUUGGUAGAGUGCAUUGUUUUGCUCGUCGAUAAGAUUGGAAACAUGGGUUCGACUCCAUCAGAUCAUCUUGCAGCUUCAAUCACUCACUCAUCAACAGAAGAUCACAAGAUUUGUUUCCUUGAGACUGCUCAUUCCAUGUCUGCUUACUCUCUCAUCAACUGCGAGCUCAUACUCAAAGAGGCUGCACAAGUUUCGCUUAUUUUACUUUUUUAUUCCUUUUCAUGUACACCAUUUACUUUAGGCUUCAGAGUUGCAAGUUAUGCUAUUGAAUUUUGCUCUUAGGAUAUCUUCUCUUUGUCUGACCAUGGAAAUUAUCUUACUGAGUAACAACUGUGGUAAUUAUCAUAUUAACCAGGUUGGAAAACAUGGACGGUAUCAGACAUGUCUCACACAAAAUCAGAUUAGAGAAGUUGGCUUUAUACAGCAAAAUAAAUGGUGAAAGACAUGAACAGAGAAGGUUGAGGUGAUAAGGAUUUUGGCACAAUGUUACCCUGCAGUCUUCUACAAAGUGAGGAUGAAGAAAAGGGAUAUCUCCAAGUGGUAAGAGAAUGCAUGUUUAUCAUUUUUAGCAAUUCAUACCAAAAUAUAUUUAGGUCAUUCUUAUUAUGUAAUGACAAUAUGAUGAAAUGUAGAAAGGAGCGAUGCUACAUGGACAUGUUCAUUGAUAAAAAUUUAACGCAGGGUAGCAGCGUUAAAUUCA